RNAcentral lists this ribosomal RNA (429 nucleotides) under uncultured bacterium. RNAcentral's name for it is "bacterial SSU rRNA". It matches the Rfam family "Bacterial small subunit ribosomal RNA", at positions 355 to 775 of the family's 1533-position model. The record is from RNAcentral.
UGGGGAAUUUUGCGCAAUGGGGGAAACCCUGACGCAGCAACGCCGCGUGAGUGAUGAAGGCCUUCGGGUCGUAAAGCUCUGUCAGAGGGGAAGAAAUGCAGGGGUGCUAAUAUCAUCUUUGCUUGACGGUACCCUCAAAGGAAGCACCGGCUAACUCCGUGCCAGCAGCCGCGGUAAUACGGAGGGUGCGAGCGUUAUUCGGAUUUAUUGGGCGUAAAGCGCAUGUAGGCGGUUCGGUAAGUCUGGUGUGAAAGCCCUCGACUCAAUCGAGGAAGUGCAUUGGAUACUGUCGAACUGGAGUACAGGAGGGGUGAGCGGAAUUCCAGGUGUAGAGGUGAAAUUCGUAGAUAUCUGGAGGAACAACAGCGGCGAAGGCGGCUCACUGGACUGUAACUGACGCUCAGAUGCGAUAGUGUGGGGAGCAAACAG